UACGUAGGCAGCAAGCGUUGUUCGGAGUUACUGGGCGUAAAGGGUGUGUAGGCGGUUUGGUAAGUCUGGUGUGAAAUCUCCCGGCUCAACUGGGAGGGUGCGCCGGAAACUGCCGGACUAGAGUGCGGGAGAGGAGAGUGGAAUUCCUGGUGUAGCGGUGAAAUGCGUAGAUAUCAGGAGGAACACCGGUGGUGCAGACGGCUCUCUGGACCGUAACUGACGCUGAGACACGAAAGCGUGGGUAGCAAACAGG
RNAcentral lists this ribosomal RNA (253 nucleotides) under uncultured bacterium. Its description in RNAcentral is "partial 16S ribosomal RNA". It matches the Rfam family "Bacterial small subunit ribosomal RNA", at positions 524 to 776 of the family's 1533-position model. The record is from RNAcentral.